UCUUAUAUGCAGCCGAAUCCCGCGGCACCACGCGGGAGCGGGGGACCCACCGGGAGCGACGAGAGACGCUCCCCGGGGCGCAGGUGAGCCACGCUCACCGGGGCACGUUCCGGCCCUAGCCCGUCAGCUAACCUCGCAGGCCGGCGCGGAGAU
RNAcentral lists this small RNA (153 nucleotides) under Fimbriiglobus ruber. RNAcentral describes it as "c-di-AMP sequence". It matches the Rfam family "c-di-AMP riboswitch aptamer (ydaO/yuaA leader)". Rfam says of the family: This family represents a conserved RNA structure found upstream of the ydaO and yuaA genes in Bacillus subtilis and related genes in other bacteria. The ydaO/yuaA element is thought to act as a genetic "off" switch for the ydaO and yuaA genes in its native state. It is believed that the element may be triggered during osmotic shock leading to activation of ydaO, a predicted amino acid transporter gene, and members of the yuaA-yubG operon which code for KtrA and KtrB K+ transporters. Lineage: Bacteria; Pseudomonadati; Planctomycetota; Planctomycetia; Gemmatales; Gemmataceae. The record is from Rfam by way of RNAcentral.